GCUCUGUGCAGGAUCACAGCCUGGGUUUGCAGCAAGUGGCUGUCAGAUGCAGAUCCAGAAGUUCAUGACGUGGUAAAACAGCUUAGAGUAUUCUGAAAGAAAAAAGCUUCACAAUGAUAAGGGAUUAAGCACAUCUGUAUGUUUAAUUUCCACAUGGAGCAAAGACAGACAUCUUCAGAGGAUGAAGAGGUUAAAGCAUAUAAGAAUACUUCAGGAAGAAUAAAUAAGAUAUGCACAUGCUGCUUUUGCAAGAAGGAAGAUUUUUUUAAAAUAUCACUACAAAAAGUAUCUUUGCAGGAUCCUGUCGUAAAAUUUAGCCUUUUCCUAGACGGAUAAGCAUGAUCUUUGAAGAAUGCUUUCAUCUCAGAAUCCAAAUGCCAAGCUGUGACUGAACCGGACUCCUCUGACAAAGGAGGAAGGAACAGGCAAAGAUUUAUCCAGCAACGGACCCCAGGGCUGCAGCGUCCAAUCCGUUUACUAAAGGGACAUCCAAAAGGGAAGCAGAUGCCCCCAGCCCUUAAACAUUCUUUGACGUUUUUGGGUUCAGACUGGGUGAAUCCUACACAGAAAUAAAAGAGUCUUGAUUUUCAUUCACAGAGCAGGGAUUCCAGAAGUGGUUACAACCAGAGGCGCCUAAUACAGAGGUCUUUGAGAAAAAAAAAUUGAUCAGCAUAGUGGCAAGAGCUAAUCCACUAGCUAGAAAGUUGGGGGUAGUAUUACAUUUCAUAGUUCAGUCAAAUCUGAAUGGAUAGGCACAUUUAAGGCACCUUUCUAACCCAGGAUAAUUCUACAAUCAAAUGUCAAGUAUCUGCGGCAACCUAUAUCUUACCUGGAGAGCUUUGCAGCACCAGGAAGAAGACAGCAAAGAGCAGGUAAAGAAUCUUCAUGGCUGAAGUUUAACUGGGAACUCGAUAUCACUGCAGAGAAGAGAAUAGACAAGAAAUGGAGAAGCUCUAUUUACCCACUGCCGGGAAUUGUGAAAUGUUGCUUUAUUGAAAACUUGUUUUGAAGCAGGUCACAUGCAUUGAGCGUGUGCUGCAAUCUGUUAAUGAUAGUAAUUAUGAUUUGUACCGCACCCUAAAAAUUCCUGGAGAAUUUCUGGGAGACACAGUUCACAUGUCCCUGCCUUGAGGAAGUUACAGUUUAAAUAUUUACACCAUUACUGACUCAUCAAAAGCCCUUUGAGAAGAAUGGAAAGCCUCCCAUUAAAUUUAUAAUGGAGUCCUUGUGCAGAGAAGAAUUCCAAAAGACAGCUGUACCCGGGAAGCAUUGGCAGUAGGGUGUGUGCAUUUGUGUAUUUUUUUUACAAUAUUUAACAA
This is a long non-coding RNA of Mauremys reevesii (Reeves's turtle), 1319 nucleotides long. RefSeq lists it as uncharacterized. NCBI's taxonomy places the organism in Eukaryota, Metazoa, Chordata, Testudines, Geoemydidae. The record is from RefSeq and is a predicted model, not a curated record. The transcript is spliced from 8 exons.